Molecule: ribosomal RNA, 836 nt
Filed under: Chaetomium subglobosum
Lineage: Eukaryota; Fungi; Ascomycota; Sordariomycetes; Sordariales; Chaetomiaceae
Description: LSU rRNA
Rfam family: Eukaryotic large subunit ribosomal RNA
Source: RNAcentral
AGGGAUUGCCCUAGUAACGGCGAGUGAAGCGGCAACAGCUCAAAUUUGAAAUCUGGCUUCGGCCCGAGUUGUAAUUUGUAGAGGAAGCUUUAGGCGCGGCACCUUCUGAGUCCCCUGGAACGGGGCGCCAAAGAGGGUGAGAGCCCCGUAUAGUUGGAUGCCUAGCCUGUGUAAAGCUCCUUCGACGAGUCGAGUAGUUUGGGAAUGCUGCUCAAAAUGGGAGGUAAAUUUCUUCUAAAGCUAAAUACCGGCCAGAGACCGAUAGCGCACAAGUAGAGUGAUCGAAAGAUGAAAAGCACUUUGAAAAGAGGGUUAAAUAGCACGUGAAAUUGUUGAAAGGGAAGCGCUUGUGACCAGACUUGCGCCGGGCGGAUCAUCCGGUGUUCUCACCGGUGCACUCCGCCCGGCUCAGGCCAGCAUCGGUUCUCGUGGGGGGAUAAAGGCCCUGGGAACGUAGCUCCUCCGGGAGUGUUAUAGCCCAGGGUGUAAUGCCCUCGCGGGGACCGAGGUUCGCGCAUCUGCAAGGAUGCUGGCGUAAUGGUCAUCAGCGACCCGUCUUGAAACACGGACCAAGGAGUCAAGGUUUUGCGCGAGUGUUUGGGUGUAAAACCCGCACGCGUAAUGAAAGUGAACGUAGGUGAGAGCUUCGGCGCAUCAUCGACCGAUCCUGAUGUAUUCGGAUGGAUUUGAGUAAGAGCGUUAAGCCUUGGACCCGAAAGAUGGUGAACUAUGCUUGGAUAGGGUGAAGCCAGAGGAAACUCUGGUGGAGGCUCGCAGCGGUUCUGACGUGCAAAUCGAUCGUCAAAUCUGAGCAUGGGGCGAAAGACUAAUCGAAC